This 451-nucleotide ribosomal RNA is filed under the name uncultured bacterium. Its description in RNAcentral is "partial 16S ribosomal RNA". It matches the Rfam family "Bacterial small subunit ribosomal RNA", at positions 28 to 507 of the family's 1533-position model. The record is from RNAcentral.
GAUGAACGCUGGCGGCGUGCCUAACACAUGCAAGUCGAGCGGCAGCGCGGGGUGCUUGCACCCUGUCGGCGAGCGGCGGACGGCUGAGUAACGCGUGGGAACGUGCCCCAAAGUGAGGAAUAACUGCCCGAAAGGGUAGCUAAUACCGCAUAUUAUCUUCGGAUCAAAGGAUUUAUCCGCUUUGGGAGCGGCUCGCGUCGGAUUAGGUAGUUGGUGAGGUAAUGGCUCACCAAGCCGACGAUCCGUAGCUGGUCUGAGAGGAUGACCAGCCAGACUGGAACUGAGACACGGUCCAGACUCCUACGGGAGGCAGCAGUGAGGAAUCUUACACAAUGGGCGAAAGCCUGAUGGAGCAACGCCGCGUGCAGGACGAAGGCCUUCGGGUUGUAAACUGCUUUUAUAAGUGAGGAAUAUGACGGUAACUGAUGAAUAAGGAACGGCUAACUACGUG